CUCUGAAAUCAGGAAGCGAAGAUGAUGAGUCCAUCGUGGGCUGCCCGUGCCCUGGUCAUCGAUAGUGCAGGGAGAGGAGUUGCUGAAAGCCCUUCCCCGUGUUUGGAGGGUUCACUCCUGUCCCUUGCAAACCCUGGAGCUUUCGUACA
This is a small nucleolar RNA of Tursiops truncatus (common bottlenose dolphin), 149 nucleotides long. Its record names the gene SNORA71. It matches the Rfam family "Small nucleolar RNA SNORA71". From Rfam's summary of the family: The members of this family belong to the H/ACA class of snoRNAs which bind a number of proteins (including dyskerin, Gar1p and Nop10p) to form snoRNP complexes. This class of snoRNAs are thought to guide the sites of modification of uridines to pseudouridines by forming direct base pairing interactions with substrate RNAs. This family includes U71 (SNORA71), ACA39 (SNORA39) and ACA60 (SNORA60). The record is from Ensembl. Lineage: Eukaryota; Metazoa; Chordata; Mammalia; Artiodactyla; Delphinidae.